GUCACGUCACGCGGGAACUGUAAGGACGGUUCGCGUCGUGUGACCUCCACGCGGCGGCGAUAGCAAACCCCCCUCGUCUCUAGCCAAUGGCAUGGAGAGCUCACCAGCACAACUAAUCAUGGAGACUCAAGACCGCAAACACGCUCCAGCAUGGAGUACUCACGAGGUGGUGGAUCUUAUUGCUGUCUGGGGAGAAGAGUCUGUGCAGGCAGAGCUCCAGUCCAGCUGAAGAAAUGCAUCUAUGCCAAGAUUGUGCAGGGUAUGGGGGAGAAGGGCUACACAAGGAACACGCAGCAGUGCCACUUGAAAAUGAAGAAGUGUACCAGAAGACAAGGGAGGCAAACAGUUGUUCUGGUUCUGCCCCACAGACAUGCCACUUUUAUGAGGAGCUGCAUGUGAUUCUCAACGGCAACCACACAACUACCCCAAAACGCUCAGUGGAUACCUUCCAGGAGUCCUGGGCGACGUCGAGCAACAAUGAGGAGGACAUUGUUGACAAGGCAGAGGAGGAGAAUGUAAGGUAGGCAAGUGGAAGAUCCAUUCUCCCUGCCAGCCAAGAACUGUUUUUAACCCUGGAGCCCAUCCCUUCACAGGACCAAUUGGCGGCGGAGCAUGAUGCCGGGGAAGGCUCCUCUGCUGAAACCUUGUCCACCAAUGCAUCCUCCACACUGGGACAGAGACUUUCCCAGAUUAGAAGGCAGAAAAAGAAGACUCGGGAGGACAAGUUCAAUGAGUUAAUGCGUGCCUCCAAGAGUGACAAGACGGAGCUCAGAGCAUGGAGGAUUAUACUGUCUGAGAACCUGGACAUGGACAGGGAGGACAGGAGAGCAUGCAGGGAACAAGAGCGUGCCACAUAGGAAGAGAUGCUGCGGAUUAUGAAGGAACAAUCAGACAUGUUGAGGCAUCUGGUUGAGGUUCAAGAAAGGCAGCUGGAUGCGAGAGUCCCUCUGCAGCCUAUGCUGAACCUGCUGCCAUCAUCACCCAGUUCUACAUCCUCCUCUCCCAAACGUCCUAUAAGGCGGGAGGGAAGUUCGGUAUCCCUUGCACUCAACACCAGGGGAGGGUACAAGGACCAGAAAGCACGCAUUCCCACACCUUUGAUUGUUAUUGCAGUUCAUCUAUAAGCAAGCUUUCCUUGUUUCUCCCCCCCCCCCCCCCGCCAGUGUUACCAGCCCUUUUGCCUCAGAAUAUCUUACUUUUCUUUGCUGUCUCUGUGUGUUUGUGUGCAUAAUAAAACUUAAUGGA
Caretta caretta (loggerhead turtle) is the source of this 1245-nucleotide long non-coding RNA. RefSeq lists it as uncharacterized. The record is from RefSeq and is a predicted model, not a curated record. NCBI's taxonomy places the organism in Eukaryota, Metazoa, Chordata, Testudines, Cheloniidae.